UAUGUACCCUGCGAAUAAGCAUCGGCUAACUCCGUGCCAGCAGCCGCGGUAAUACGGAGGAUGCGAGCGUUAUCCGGAUUUAUUGGGUUUAAAGGGUGCGUAGGUGGGCUGUUAAGUCAGUGGUGAAAGUUUGUCGCUCAACGAUAAAAUUGCCGUUGAAACUGGUGGUCUUGAGUAUGGAUGAAGUAGGUGGAAUGCGUGGUGUAGCGGUGAAAUGCAUAGAGAUCACGCAGAACUCCGAUUGCGAAGGCAGCUUACUAAGGCAUAACUGACACUGAAGCACGAAAGCGUGGGUAUCAAACAGGAUUAGAUACCCUGGUAGUCCACGCAGUAAACGAUGAUUACUAGGAGUUUGCGAUAUAUUGUAAGCUCUACAGCGAAAGCGUUAAGUAAUCCACCUGGGGAGUACGCCGGCAACGGUGAAACUCAAAGGAAUUGACGGGGGCCCGCACAAG
RNAcentral lists this ribosomal RNA (455 nucleotides) under uncultured bacterium. RNAcentral describes it as "bacterial SSU rRNA". It matches the Rfam family "Bacterial small subunit ribosomal RNA", at positions 472 to 929 of the family's 1533-position model. The record is from RNAcentral.